This 466-nucleotide ribosomal RNA is filed under the name uncultured bacterium. RNAcentral describes it as "partial 16S ribosomal RNA". It matches the Rfam family "Bacterial small subunit ribosomal RNA", at positions 29 to 507 of the family's 1533-position model. The record is from RNAcentral.
AUGCACGCUGGCGGCGUGCUUAACACAUGCCAGUCGAACGGAAAGGCCUCUGCUUGCAGGGGUACUCGAGUGGCGAACGGGUGAGUAACACGUGGGUGAUCUGCCCUGCACUUCGGGAUAAGCCUGGGAAACUGGGUCUAAUACCGGAUAGGACAAUGGUUUGGAUGCUGUUGUGGAAAGUUUUUCGGUGUGGGAUGAGCUCGCGGCCUAUCAGCUUGUUGGUGGGGUAAUGGCCUACCAAGGCGUCGACGGGUAGCCGGCCUGAGAGGGUGUACGGCCACAUUGGGACUGAGAUACGGCCCAGACUCCUACGGGAGGCAGCAGUGGGGAAUAUUGCACAAUGGGCGCAAGCCUGAUGCAGCGACGCCGCGUGGGGGAUGACGGCCUUCGGGUUGUAAACUCCCUUCGCUAGGGACGAAGCGUUUUUGUGACGGUACCUGGAGAAGAAGCACCGGCUAACUACGUG